ACGAACGCUGGCGGCGUGCCUAAUACAUGCAAGUCGAACGGUCUUUCUAUGGAAGCUUGCUUCCACUGAGAAGAUAGUGGCGAACGGGUGAGUAACACGUGGGUAACCUGCCCAUAAGAGGGGGAUAACAUCCGGAAACGGGUGCUAAUACCGCAUAGUUUUCUUGAUCGCAUGAUUGAGAAAGGAAGACGGCCUUUGUGCUGUCGCUUAUGGAUGGACCCGCGGCGUAUUAGUUAGUUGGUGAGGUAAUGGCUCACCAAGACGAUGAUACGUAGCCGACCUGAGAGGGUGAUCGGCCACAUUGGGACUGAGACACGGCCCAAACUCCUACGGGAGGCAGCAGUAGGGAAUCUUCCGCAAUGGACGAAAGUCUGACGGAGCAACGCCGCGUGAGUGAAGAAGGUUUUCGGAAUCGUAAAACUCUGUUGUCAGAGAAGAACAAGUUGGAGAGUAACUGCUCCAGCCUUGACGGUAUCUGACCAGAAAGCCACGGCUAACUACGUGCCAGCAGCAGC
RNAcentral lists this ribosomal RNA (515 nucleotides) under uncultured bacterium. RNAcentral describes it as "bacterial SSU rRNA". It matches the Rfam family "Bacterial small subunit ribosomal RNA", at positions 29 to 518 of the family's 1533-position model. The record is from RNAcentral.